CCAAAGGAUGGGGCCGCGACCGAUCAGGCUGUUGGCGAGGUAACGGCUCACCAAACCUAUAACCGGUACGGGCCGCGGGAGCGGGAGCCCGGAGAUGGGCACUUAGACAAGGGCCCAGGCCCUACGGGGCGCAGCAGUCGCGCAAACUCUGCAAUACGCGAAAGCGUGACAGGGCUAUCCCGAGUGCCGUCCGCUGAGGAUGGCUUUUCUCUGGUGUAAUGAGCCGGAGGAAUAAGGAGAGGGCAAGUCUGGUGUCAGCCGCCGCGGUAAUACCAGCUCUCCGAGUGGUAGGGACGAUUACUGGGCCUGAAGCGUCCCUAGCCAGCUAAGCAAGUUUCCCGUUAAAUCCAGCGAUCUAAUCGUUGGCCUGCGGGAAAUACUGCUUGGCUAGGGGGCGAGAGAGGCCAACGGUAUUUCCGGGGUAGGGGUGAAAUCCUAUAAUCCCGGGAGGACCACCAGUGGCGAAGGCUGUCGGCUAGAACGCGCCCGACGGUGAGGGAUGAAAGCUGGGGGAGCGAACCGGAUUAGAUACCCGGGUAGUCCCAGCUGUAAACGAU
This 557-nucleotide ribosomal RNA is filed under the name uncultured archaeon. RNAcentral's name for it is "bacterial SSU rRNA". It matches the Rfam family "Archaeal small subunit ribosomal RNA", at positions 202 to 761 of the family's 1478-position model. The record is from RNAcentral.